UGAAGGCUCCGUUAUCGCCUACUACCUCUCUGAGUUCCGUGUGCCAGUGGGUCAGGAGGCGACCAUCGACAGCAUCAUGACCUCCAUGGACAAGCUGGCGGACAAAGAGCGACGCGUGACCAAGAGACCUGGCAACGCCCUGGUCCUAGAAGACAUGGUGACCUCAGCGCUCGAUACCCGUUUGUUCUCCUCCUCAUUCAACCAGUUCUUGAGGUUUUCCGAGCAUACGCUCAACGAGUUUGAUCAGAUCCAUCUCCGGGCCUUCCCUAACGAGGCGUACCCCAACAACGCCUUCAUCCAGUGGCAGCUCCGCGCGACCCGGGGUACCUCAUCAAGCUGGAUUUCGACCGUUAAAUCUGGAGGACGACUGCAAGAACGACUUUGUUAAAAUCUACGACUCGCUGGUAGCCAUCGAAGGCCGCGUUUUGACGAGUGAGUUUGUGGAAGUUACUUUAAACAGGACAGGGUUGGGGUCAAUUAUAUUUGUAAUUGGUAAUUAAUUACAACUAUGACGUAAUUGUAAUGGUAAUUGUUUUUUGCUCCAGUAAUCAUAAUUGAAUUGUAUUUUUUUUUUUUAAAUAGAAUAAAUAAUAAUAAUAAUGAAUUGUAAUUUAGUUC
RNAcentral lists this long non-coding RNA (618 nucleotides) under Gouania willdenowi (blunt-snouted clingfish). RNAcentral describes it as "lncRNA (ENSGWIG00000019863.1)". Lineage: Eukaryota; Metazoa; Chordata; Actinopteri; Blenniiformes; Gobiesocidae. The record is from RNAcentral.